This 9424-nucleotide unclassified non-coding RNA is filed under the name Haliotis rufescens (red abalone). RNAcentral's name for it is "protocadherin Fat 4-like, transcript variant X8". Lineage: Eukaryota; Metazoa; Mollusca; Gastropoda; Lepetellida; Haliotidae. The record is from RNAcentral.
CGUUGUAGCUAUACAAAAGCUGAAGCCCUCUCCCCGCGCAGCACUCGUUGACUGGAUCAGGUGCAUAUAAACUUCGUGUGAAACAUCGGGAGAGACGAAGGGACCCAAGUUACUGAUGGUGCGCCCCAGAAUGGAUAUGAAGAAAACACUGGUGGAUAGAACUUGCCAAUGUCGGUAUUGUGUUAACUUAUGUAUAUAAAUGAUAAAUACUUUUUGUUCAAGCUAAAAAAAAGACCUAUUUCAAUUUUCCAAGAUUGCUUGUAACAUUAUCCUAUGGUAAUCUGAUAUCAAAUAUUUAACUUAACCAAUGCAUUGCUCUUUCUUCUGUGCUUUUUCUCAUUUGCACUUCUUGAGCACGUCGUCUAAGGAUGAGGUAAGUAUAAGCGAAUUACUGGAACUAACAUGCUUUUUGUGGUAAGUAUUUACGCUUUGUGUGAAUCGGGAGUGAGGUGUGCAAGGGGAUGAAUGUGUCAUGAUGUCCGGACUUGUCAUCAAAACUGUAGGGUAAACGUUACAAAUAUAUGAAGCAAUUCACUUAGUGGAGCUGGCAAAUGAAAGGACUUGCCUUAUGACUUUUACUAAAACAGAUCGGGGUGCUUUAUCGUUAUUUAUCAUCGACUAAUAUGCAAUAUAAAAGUCAUAAGGAAUAUCCUUUCACACCCACGCCUGAUAUUGUAGUGAACUAUUUACAUUUAGCAACAACCACUCCAACGCCACCAACGUGUGGCCCCAUGACAGAUGCCUCUCUGGACGAGGACUGCUCCAACGCGCGAUGUGUGGCCGUCAACAGCUCGUGUGUGACGACGUCAGCGGGAAGCCGCAGAUGUGCCUGUGUUAACAAGAACGUGCAGAUAUCAGCUACAGAAUGCUCAUUGGGACCAAGUGUUCUGUCAAGUACACCAAACUACGUCUUCUCCACAAAUCAAUCUAGAACGUCAGUAACUGUGGGAACAAUCAUUUUUGAUGGGCUUAGUACAUUCCCCACAAAUAACUUCUCCAUAGAAGGCGAAGUAUAUCCUGAUGAGAGGAUCCUGGACCUAAGGAGAAACUCGAGCAACAUUGAUGUGGCACUGGUCAAGGAAAUAAGCAAUGCUAAAACAUUUGUGGUGGCGUUACGUGCAACUUCCGGUGAGUUCACUGUGCAGCAGGUUGUGACCGUCAGGAUCACAUCCUCCUCUUUCACACCAGAAAACGUCACAGUUAUGUUGGUGGAGGGAACCAGGAAAGGCACGCUGAUAGCUGACGUGAGGACUAUUGGUAGUUUGGGAGGGUACAGCAACUUCGAAAUGGAGACCACAGAUCAGACAGCAAGGGCCCUGUUCAAUGUGACCACAUCGGGGCAGGUUCUUUGUGGACAAGAUAUAUUUUUGAGUGACUUUACCAAUAACGACACAGUAGCUAAAGAAUAUAUAUUCAGUAUCAAAGCGAAAAAGGGAGGACAGAGAGAAACAACUGCAACCUUUUACAUCUUGUUAUUCAAGAGUACUUUUACAACAACGUUAAGAGAAAAUUGGAAAGGCAAUAUCUUGAGCUAUACUAUAACAAGCUCUAAGUUCCAGGUCGCUAUUAAUGACACGCUCCCAGAUAGACUAAAAUUCUCAAAGGACUUGAUGAUAAUUAGUUUGGUAGAAGAAAUUGACUACGAUGCUGGUAUCACAAGUAUACAUUUUAAACUUGAUCUUGUCACGACGACCAAGUCAACUACAGUAGAUGUCCACAUAAACAUUGAAGACCAAAAUGACGAAAGCCCCAAAUUUAAAAAAGCAGUUUACGUAUUUUCGCUGCUUGCUGGAUCUAAGGGGAAUAGUGUAGUCGGCGUUGUUGAUGUUACUGAUGGAGAUACAGUUGGGCAGACAACAUUUAGUCUGGAAGGCAGAAAUAAAGACGACUUCAGCAUAAACGACGAUGGUGUUUUGACAUCAAAAGUGGAUUUAACAAGAGGCCGUUUCCCUUCCGAGAUCCCCCUCCGGGUCAAGGCUUAUGAUGGCGUAUCUUACUCUGAGGAAGCCAACAUCACUGUCUAUCUCAUCUCCUACACCAUUAAUGCAGUCAACCUCAACAAGACAUUCCAUGGCAGAGUCAGUGAAAACAGUACCGGAGCAUUUGUGGCCAAUGUAGCAGUGUCAAACUAUACCGGCUACAAAUUUCCAAAUCCUCAGGCUGACAGAUUCUUCAGCCUAAAUUCUACGUCUGGGAACGUCACAACAACUAUUGGCCUAGACCGAGAGAACGACGACCAGGCGUAUACUGCAUUCACCAUUCAGGCUUACCUGGAUAGUGGCGACCAGUGCUCCCCUGUGACGAUUGGUCAACUCAUUACGAAUAUAACAGACGUGAACGACAAUGCGCCAGAAUUCUCUAGUCCUUCUUAUACAGGAAGAGUAAAAGAAAACUCCAUUCCAGGAACCCUGGUUGUUGGUUUGGUGGACAUAGCUGUUACCGACGAAGACGCUGGAGUGAAUGGUUCUGUAAACUUCGCUUUAACGGGACCUGGGAAGACCUAUUUUGCUGUUGAGAAAUUGAAUCACAACCAAUUCACAAUAAAAACCAGCGGAACCCCGAUUGAUAGAGAAUUCGAAGUAACUCCAUACGUAGUCCUGACAUUAACUGGAACAGACAAUCCAUCUAAUCCUAACACAGGCACCACUGCACUCAACAUCACAAUCAUGGAUGUCAACGACAAUGCACCACAGUUCAACGGCGGGUCGACCGUAUUUUGGGUGGAAGAAAACGUUGGACCAAAGACUAUCACAACGUUAACAGCCACAGACAGGGAUGAAGGCCUCAAUGCAAAGGUAUCAUACUCAUUGAAAGAUGGGGGAUUUGGUUUCUUCCAAGUUAACGAAAGCACUGGCGAAGUAUCGACAAUCAAGGCAAUAGACAGAGAAAAAAGGAAAGUCUUCAACCUGAUCAUCGAAGCAAAGGACCAAGGGUCGCCUUCUCUAGAAUCAGAGUUGAAUAUUACCGUCAAUAUUCGUGAUGUAAACGAUGAAAAGCCUACAUUUACGGAGAAAUACUACAAGGGUUCUUAUACGGAAAAUAGUCCAUGUGACAGAAGCAUCCUAACAGUGUCGGCAACAGACCACGACGAAGGAAUCAAUGCCAGCAUCACGUUCUCAACAACAAGUUCUAACUUUACAGUCAAUAACACCACUGGCGCAAUUGGAUGUGCGAUUCCUCUUGACUAUGAAGAAAUGCAGCAACAUCUGAUAGAAAUAAAAGCAGAGAACCCAGGGUUUCCCACAAUGAGCGACACAGUAAAAGUUGAGAUAAACGUUGAAGACGAAAAUGACAACAGUCCACGUUUUGAUAAACCCAACUAUCAGUCUGAGAUAACAACUUGGGAGUGGGUAACCAACAACCCUGUUGAUGUUUUUGAAGUCACGGACGAUGACUCUGGAACGAAUGGCCUUAUUAUACUCUCCAUGAGUGGGGAGACGGACAAAUUCUACAUUGAUGGAGACACUGUAGGUGUGUUACGCAUCAAAGAGGGCGCAAGUCAACCCGUUGCUUCCACAACAUAUAACUUUGAUGUUACAGCCACAGAUAAAGGUUCUCCAUCGCUAAGUGUCACAGUCCCAGUAUCAGUUGAUGUGAAGAAAAUACAAGGCAAUAGUACUGUACGGUUCAGUUCUAAAGACUAUACGUUUUCAAUUGUGGAGAACCGAUUAUAUACCACAUCUUUCGGAAGAGCAAAUGCUGCUCAUGACGCCAACGUGUCAGUUCACUAUACCUUAAUCCAUGGCGGGGAUUUCCGUAUUGAUCCAAGUAGUGGAGCGUUGACUUGCAGUAAAGCACAGGAUCGAGAGACAGUAGCAAAUCAUACCAUGGUCGUUCGUGCCAGGGAUAUCACCACUAACGCCUCGGACGUGGCUGUUGUAACAGUUCAAAUUUUGGAUGUAAAUGACAAUAGACCAAUAUUUCUGGCAUCUUCUGGACAGCUCGUCUUUCAAGUUAAGGAAAAUUCUACUGGCAAGGAGAUCGGACGCAUCAUUGCCAAAGAUGGGGAUGCAGAUGAAAAUGGAACAAUAACGUACAGCAUUGUAUCGCAGACACCUCGGACACAUUUCUCGAUAAAUCCUGGAAACGGCAUGGUCACUGUUUCGGGAGAUCUAGACAGAGAAGAUUAUGAUACAUACAACUUAAUCAUCAAGGCGACAGACAAUGGCGAUGCUCCGAGAACUGCAACAACAAGUGCGACUAUCCUUGUCCUGGAUAUCAACGACAAUCCCCCGACAUUCCAAACAACGUAUGCAGUGACAGUAAAGGAAGAUAGUGCCAUUUCCGCAUCGGUGGAGACAGUGAGUGCGACUGACGGAGACUUGGGGCAGCAUGGUGCAAUUGCAUACACUUCUAACACCGUAAUGGUGAACCAAACUGUCUGUCCAUUCAAUGUGUCAGUGGACACUGGAGUCGUGAAAGUGAGCAGCGACCUCGACUAUGAGACGACUUCAACAUAUGAAUGCAUUGUGACUGCUGUGGACAUGAAGGGAUGCAGCAGUUGCACAGGACGUCUCACUGGAUCGACAACAAUGUCCGUCACCAUCCUGGAUUUCAACGACAACCCACCGGUGUUUCAGGGGGCGCCGUACCGAGCCAACAUAUCAAGAGACGCUAACAUCAACACUCUCGUCACUGACGUCAUCACCGCAACUGACAGGGACAGCACCAUGGACGGCAAUGGAGUCGUUAAAUACCAUAUGUUUUCAAACAUCAACUACUUCAGGAUUGAUCGAAAUUCAGGAAGAAUAUACGUGGCUACAGCCCUAGACAAACUGAAUGAUGAUGAGGUCACUCUGAGGAUCAAAGCGACAGAUCUACCCCAAAAAGACCCUGCUAUGGAAGCAAUCACAAACAUUACUAUUUCCAUCCUGACCGAUGAGCCGCGACCAUUCUUCACAAAAACAUACACCUUCCUGCUGACGGAGAAUGAGAAGCCUGAUGACGAUAAACCGGUGUCCAUUAGAGCCUAUGUGCGAAGGCCGAGUGAAGAAGAGUGUAACUGCACCUAUGAUUUAAUAGGUUCAGAUAAUUCGAGCUUUUACAUAGACAGUAUGACUGGAGACUUGAAACAAAAGUACAUGAUUGACCGCGAAAAAACAGGCAGUCGUUUUUAUGUGAAAGUGAAGGCGACAGACCGACGCAGCCUUUUUUAUAGGACAACAGAUGUUGAAGUGAACGUUAAAGAUGUUAACGACAACUUACCCUACUUCAACAACACCCAGCAGAACUUCAUAGUAAAUCAGAGUGCUCCAGCUGGGCAUGUGAUCGGGAGAGUGAUGUCGGUAGACGCUGAUGAACUCAGUCACCCCAUAUACACAGCCUUUACUGAUGUUGAUGGCAUCGAACUGCUGGGUGAUGGAACUCUUGUUGUGAGGGCUCAUCUGUCGAGCUACACAACGGUUGAUAUGAUAGUGAGUGUGACAGAGGGCAACUUUACAGGACCAAUCAAUAUAUUGGCAGUAACUACAACAAAGGUCUCCAUAGAAGUGCGACCAGACGAUUACAUUGAACAUGCUCCCGUAUUUGGAAAAGCAACAACCACCCCAACGCCAUCAACGUGCGACCCCAUGACAGAUGCCUCUCUGGACGAGGACUGCUCAAACGCGCGAUGUGUGGCCGUAAACAGCUCGUGUGUGACGACGUCAGCGGGAAGCCGCAGAUGUGCCUGUGCUAACAAGAACGUGCAGAUAUCAGCUACAGAAUGCUCAAUGGGACCAAGUGUUCUGUCAAGUACCAAAAACUACAUCUUCUCCACAGAUCUAUCUAGAACGCCAGUAACUGUGGGAUCAAUCAUGUUUGAUGGGCUUAGUACAUUCCCCACAAAUACCUUCUCCAUAGAAGGCGAAGUAUAUCCUGAUGAGGGAAUCCUGGACCUAAAGAGAAACUCGAGGCUCAUUGAUGUGGCACUGGUCAAGGAAAUAAGCAGUGCUAAAACAUUUGUGGUAGCGUUACGAGCAGCUUCCAGUGAGUUCACUGUGCAGCAGGUUGUGACCGUCAGGAUCAAGUCCUCCUCCUUCACACCAGAAGACGUCACAGUUAUGUUGGUGGAGGGAACCAGGAAAGGCACGCUGAUAGCUGACGUGAGGACUAUUGGUAGUUUGGGAGGGUACAGCAACUUCGAAAUGGAGACCACAGAUCAGACAGCAAGGGCCCUGUUCAAUGUGACCAUAUCGGGGCAGGUUCUUUGUGGACAAGAUAUGUUUUUGAGUGACUUUACCAAUAACGAUACAGUAGCUAAAGAAUAUAUAUUCAGUGUCAAAGCGACAAAUGGAGGACAGAGAGCAACAACUGCAACCUUUUACAUCUUGUUAUUCAAGAGUACUUUUACAACAACGUUUAGAGAAAAUUGGACAGGCAAAAUCUUGAGCUAUACCAUAACAAGCCCUAAGUUCGAGGUAGCCAUAAUUGACACGCUUCCAGAUGGACUAGCAAAAAGCUUGACAGGCGUAAGGCUGGAGAAGGCAAUUGACUAUGAUGCUGGUGUCAGAAAUAUUGAUUUUAAACUUGAUCUAGUCACGACGAACAGUACAAAGUCAACUACAGUUGAUGUCCAUAUUAAAAUUGAAGAUCUAAAUGACGAACCUCCGAAACUUAAAAAAGCAGUUUACGAAUUCUCGCUUUUUGCUGGAUCUAAGAGGAAUAGUAUAGUCGGCGUUGUUGAUGUCACUGAUGGAGAUACAGUUGGACGGACAGCUUUCGAUUUGGACGGCGAAAAUAAAGGCUACUUCAGCAUAAACGACGAUGGUAUUUUGACAUCAAAGGUGGAUUUAACAAGAGGUAAGUUCCCCUCCACAAUCACUCUACGUGUCAAGGCUUAUGAUGGAGUAACCUACUCUGAUGAAAGCACCAUCACUGUCUAUCUCAUCUCUUACACCAUUCAUGGAAUCAACCUCAACAAGACCUUCCUUGGCAGAGUCAGUGAAAACAGCCCCAAUGGAACAUAUGCUGCUAACGUCUCAGUGUCAAACUAUACAGAUUUCAAAUUUGCAAACCCACGGGCUCAAGGAUUCUUCAACCUCAAUCCAGCAUCUGGGAUCGUCACAACAGCUAUUGGUCUAGACCGAGAGAACGACGACCAGGCAUACACUGAAUUCACCAUUCAGGCUUACAUGGAUAGUGGUGACCAGUGCUCCCCUGUGACGAUUGGUCACCUGAUUACGAAUGUAACCGACGAGAACGACAAUGCGCCACAGUUUUCCAGACCCUUUUAUACAGGAAGAGUGAAAGAAAACUCCACUUCAGGAACACUGGUUGAUGAUUUGGUGGACAUAGUUGUUACCGACGAAGACAGAGGAGUGAAUGGUUCUGUAAACUUCGCUUUGACGGGUUCUGGGAAAACCUAUUUUGCUGUUGAGAAAUUGAAUCACAACAAAUUCACCAUAAAAACCAGCGGAACCCCGACUGAUAGAGAAGUAACUCCAUAUGUAGUCCUGACAUUAACUGGAACAGACAAUCCAUCUAAUCCUAACACAGGCACUACUACACUCAACAUCACAAUCAUGGACGUCAACGACAAUGCACCACAGUUCAACCGCGGGAGGACCGUAUUUUGGGUGGAAGAAAACGUUGGACCAAAGAUUAUCACUACGUUAACAGCCACAGACAAGGAUGAAGGCCUCAAUGCAAAGAUAUCAUACUCAUUGAAAGAUGGGGGAUUUGGUUUAUUCCAAAUUGACGAAAUCACUGGCGAAGUAUCGACAAUCAAGGCAAUUGACAGAGAAAGCAGGAAAGUCUUCAACCUGUCCAUCGAAGCAAGGGACCAAGGGUCGCCUUCUCUAGAAUCAGUAUUGACAGUUACCAUCAAUAUUCGUGAUGUAAACGAUGAAAAGCCUACAUUUACAAAGAACUCCUACAAAAGUUAUAAUAAGGAAAAUAGCCCAUGUGACAGAAACAUCCUAACAGUGACAGCAAUAGACCAGGACGAAGGCAGCAAUGCCAACAUCACGUUCUCAACAACAAGUUCCAAAUUUACAGUCGAUCCAAUAUCUGGGGCCAUUAGAUGUAUGAUUCCUCUUGACUAUGAAGAAAUGCGGCAACAUCUGAUAGAAAUAAAAGCAGAGAACCCAGGGUUUCCCAAAAUGAGUGACACAGUAACAGUUGAGAUAAACGUUGAAGACGAAAAUGACAACAGUCCACGUUUUGAUAAACCCAACUAUCAGUCUGAGAUAACAACUUUGGAGUGGGCAACCAACAACCCUGUUGAUGUUUUUGAAGUCACGGAUGAUGAUUCUGGAACGAAUGGCCAAUUUAGGUUCUCCAUGAGUGGGGAGACGGACAAAUUCUACAUUGAUGGAGACACUAUAGGUGUGUUACGCAUCAAAGAGGGCGCAAGUCAACCCAAUGCUUACACAACAUAUAACUUUAACGUUACAGCUAUAGAUAAAGGUUCUCGGUCGCUAAAUGUCUCCGUCCCAGUAUCAGUUGUUGUGAAGAAAAGUCAAGGCAAUAGUACUGUACGGUUCAACUAUACAGAUUUUAUAUUUUCAAUUGAGGAGGAGAAGGUAUAUAACACAUCUUUCGGAAGAGCAAAAGCUUCUUAUGACGCCAGCGUGACAGUUAGCUAUACCCUUAUCCAUGGGGGUGAUUUCCGUAUUAAUAAUAGUAGUGGGGCGCUGACUUGCAGUAAAGCACAGGAUCGUGAGACAGCAGCAAAGCAUACCAUUGUCGUUCGUGCCAGGGAUCCCGCCACUAACGCCUCGGACGUGGCUGUUAUAACAGUUAUAGUUUCGGACAUAAAUGACAAUGCACCAACAUUUCGGGCAUCUACUGAACAGCUCGUGUUUAGUGUUCAGGAAAACUCUCCGGGCAAGGAGGUCGCACGCAUCGUGGCCGAUGAUAGGGAUGUCGGUGAAAAUGGAACAAUAACGUACAGCAUUGAAUCACAGAUACCUCGGACACAUUUCUCCAUAAAUCCUGAAAACGGCACGGUCACUGUUUCUGGACAUCUAGACAGAGAAGCCUAUGACACCUACAACUUAAUUAUCAAGGCAACAGACAAUGCAGAUGCUCCGAGAACUGCAACAACAAGUGCGACUAUCCUUGUCGAUGAUAUCAACGACAAUCCCCCCACAUUCCAGACACUGCAUGCAGUGACAGUAAAGGAAGAUAGUGCCAUUUCCGUAUCGCAUAUUGUUUGCACUUUGACAACAAAUACUGCGUCUACUUCAGGUGGCGACAGUUAGUGCGACUGACAGGGACUAUGCACAGCAUGGUAAAGUUACCUAUUUCCCUGACACCGUAAUGGUGAACGGAACUGUCUGUCCAUUCAAAGUGUCAGUUGAGACUGGAGUCGUGAAAGUGAGCGGCGACCUCGACUAUGAGACGACUUCCACAUAUGAAUGCAUUGUGACUGCUGUGGACAUGAAGGGAUGCAGCAAUUGCACAGGGCGUCUCACUGGAUCGACAACUAUGUCCGUCACCA